CAGUAGCCGCGGUAAUACGAGGGGGGCAAGCGUUGUUCGGAAUUAUUGGGCGUAAAGGGCGCGUAGGCGGUUUGGCAAGUUUGGUGUGAAAUCUUCGGGCUCAACUCGAAGUCUGCACCGAAAACUGCCGGGCUUGAGUAUGGGAGAGGUGAGUGGAAUUUCCGGUGUAGCGGUGGAAUGCGUAGAUAUCGGAAGGAACACCUGUGGCGAAAGCGGCUCACUGGACCAUUACUGACGCUGAGGCGCGAAAGCUAGGGGAGCAAACAGGAUUAGAUACCCCUGUAGUCCCUGUCUCUUAUAC
RNAcentral lists this ribosomal RNA (301 nucleotides) under uncultured bacterium. RNAcentral's name for it is "partial 16S ribosomal RNA". It matches the Rfam family "Bacterial small subunit ribosomal RNA", at positions 509 to 807 of the family's 1533-position model. The record is from RNAcentral.